This is a long non-coding RNA of Limulus polyphemus (Atlantic horseshoe crab), 529 nucleotides long. RefSeq lists it as uncharacterized. The transcript is spliced from 3 exons. Lineage: Eukaryota; Metazoa; Arthropoda; Merostomata; Xiphosura; Limulidae. The record is from RefSeq and is a predicted model, not a curated record.
AUUAAUUACGAGCCAGAGUAGACGCUGCUACUGAUACACUUGGAUGGAUGGACGACAAACCUGUCACAGUAGGCCGCAAGCUUAGCUGUGAAGAAAAAAGCCAGAGUUAAGAGAAGAAGAUACUUACUUCCGGCAGUAGGAACGAUUGGAGGAUGUUCUAAACCCGGAACUACUGUCAAAGGAAGGAAAGCAUGUUCUAUCAGCAGCCAUUAAUAGAAAAGCGUCAGUUUGAAAGAGCUCAAGAAAAAGAGUUUUCACAAGCAACCCUACUGACCUUUCACCUGUGUGUGGUCUCGGAACACGUUUGUUGUUCUAACUAUUGGCCCACCCACGUGGAAGACAGCUACAACUGGGAUCACCAAGAAAUGCCAACAACGACUCAUCAUGCUGCAGCAUAAGCCUCGUCGGAUAACGACCCCUCUGUGAUUCCCCAACAAUCAAUUUUUAAUUACGACUCUAAUUACAUCAGCAACUGUAUCGUUUCCAACCCUAUAUGGACUUCGUUUUAUUCCAAGUAGUCUAGCUCACA